Molecule: transfer RNA, 72 nt
Filed under: Patescibacteria group bacterium
Lineage: Bacteria
Also listed under: 3 other names
Description: tRNA-Met
Rfam family: tRNA
About the family: Transfer RNA (tRNA) molecules are approximately 80 nucleotides in length. Their secondary structure includes four short double-helical elements and three loops (D, anti-codon, and T loops).
Source: RNAcentral
AGCGGGGUAGAGCAGCGGCAGCUCGCGAGGCCCAUAACCUCGAGGACGCAGGUUCGAAUCCUGCCCCCGCAA